This 313-nucleotide ribosomal RNA is filed under the name uncultured bacterium. Its description in RNAcentral is "bacterial SSU rRNA". It matches the Rfam family "Bacterial small subunit ribosomal RNA", at positions 28 to 334 of the family's 1533-position model. The record is from RNAcentral.
GACGAACGCUGGCGGCGUGCUUAACACAUGCAAGUCGAACGGGGAUACAAGGGAGCUUGCUCCUGAGUAUUCUAGCGGCGGACGGGUGAGUAACGCGUGAGCAACCUUUCUCUCAGUGGGGAAUAACACAGGGAAACUUGUACUAAUACCACAUGAGACCACAGAACCGCAUGGUUUAGGGGUCAAAGAUUUAUUGCUGAGAGGUGGGCUCGCGUCUGAUUAGGUAGUUGGUGAGGUAACGGCCCACCAAGCCGACGAUCAGUAGCCGACCUGAGAGGGUGAUCGGCCACAUUGGGACUGAGACACGGCCCAA